AAGAGUAUAGCUAAAACAGAAUAGCAUCUCCCUUACACUGAGAAGGUAUUCGUGCAAGUCGAAUUAUUCUUA
This 72-nucleotide transfer RNA is filed under the name Ctenochaetus striatus (striated surgeonfish). RNAcentral's name for it is "tRNA-Val". It matches the Rfam family "tRNA". From Rfam's summary of the family: Transfer RNA (tRNA) molecules are approximately 80 nucleotides in length. Their secondary structure includes four short double-helical elements and three loops (D, anti-codon, and T loops). The record is from RNAcentral. Lineage: Eukaryota; Metazoa; Chordata; Actinopteri; Acanthuriformes; Acanthuridae.